This 395-nucleotide ribosomal RNA is filed under the name uncultured bacterium. RNAcentral's name for it is "bacterial SSU rRNA". It matches the Rfam family "Bacterial small subunit ribosomal RNA", at positions 360 to 773 of the family's 1533-position model. The record is from RNAcentral.
AAUCUUCCACAAUGGGCGCAAGCCCGAUGGAGCAACGCCGCGUGCAGGAUGACGGCCUUCGGGUUGUAAACUGCUUUUCGGGGGGACGAUGCUGACGGUACCCCCGGAAUAAGGCUCGGCUAACUCUGUGCCAGCAGCCGCGGUAAUACAGAGGAGCCAAGCGUUGUCCGGAUUGACUGGGCGUAAAGCGCACGCAGGUGGUCGUGCAAGUGUCGUGUGAAAGCAGCUCGCUCAACGAGCUGAGGCAUGGCAGACUGCACAACUCGAGCCCGUGAGAGGUCGGUGGAAUUGCCGGUGUAGUGGUGAAAUGCGUAGAGAUCGGCAGGAACACCCAAGGGGAAGCCAGCCGACUGGCACGGUGCUGACACUGAGGUGCGAGAGCGUGGGGAGCAAAC